Molecule: ribosomal RNA, 418 nt
Filed under: uncultured bacterium
Lineage: Bacteria
Description: bacterial SSU rRNA
Rfam family: Bacterial small subunit ribosomal RNA
Source: RNAcentral
GACGAACGCUGGCGGCGUGCCUAACACAUGCAAGUCGAGCGGAGACAGUGAGUAGCUUGCUAUGAGCUGUUUUAGCGGCGGACGGGUGAGUAACGCGUGAGCAACCUUUCCCAGACAGGGGAAUAACACACCGAAAGGUGUACUAAUACCGCAUAAGACCACGGUUUCACAUGGAACUGAGGUAAAAGAUUUAUCGGUUUGGGGUGGGCUCGCGUCCGAUUAGGUAGUUGGUGAGGUAACGGCCCACCAAGCCGACGAUCGGUAGCCGACCUGGGAGGGUGAUCGGCCACAUUGGGACUGAGACACGGCCCAAACUCCUACGGGAGGCAGCAGUGGGGAAUAUUGGGCAAUGGAGGAAACUCUGACCCAGCAACGCCGCGUGGAGGAAGAAGGUUUUCGGAUCGUAAACUCCUGUCCU